CCUUUGUGAUGAAGGUUCUAGACAUAGGGACUGGGGUUUGUGUGAGGUCACCCAGGUGAUUGCACAGCGCCAGCCCUCAAAGCCAGGUCUAGGGCUCCAUCCCACUUCCCAAGAUGCCCUGAAGUCUUGAGGUGUCUGCUAGGAAAGCGUUGCAUUACUGGGCCAGGAAAGAAGCUUCAUAUUACAACAGGCUGACAUGUUUUUAGCUCAAGAGUGGAGACUUCUGUCAAUCAUGUGGGAUCAUGAAUGCCUGAAAGGUUGGAGGUCCAUGCGUUGACCAAGAAGAACUCCAGCUGCUUCAGAUUGCUUGAUUGUCACUGAAAAGUACACUCAAUAUGAAGAAGAUUGCAGUUAACUGGAGAUUAAAAUUAGAUGUCUUAAUAAGGCAAAUCAUUUCAA
This 399-nucleotide long non-coding RNA is filed under the name Homo sapiens (human). RNAcentral's name for it is "HSALNT0399813". Lineage: Eukaryota; Metazoa; Chordata; Mammalia; Primates; Hominidae. The record is from RNAcentral.